RNAcentral lists this ribosomal RNA (222 nucleotides) under Cyphomyrmex peltatus. RNAcentral describes it as "partial large subunit ribosomal RNA". The record is from RNAcentral. Lineage: Eukaryota; Metazoa; Arthropoda; Insecta; Hymenoptera; Formicidae.
GAAUUUUAUAUAAAAUUAUUUAAAUUAAGUGAAAUUUUAAUUGAUUAUAUAAUAGAUUUUAUAUUUAGUUGGGAGGACUAUUAAAUUAAAAAAACUUUAAUAUUAAUAAAAAUAUAAAUAAGUAGAUAAAUUAAGGAAUAAUUAUUAAAUUUAAAAGAAAUAAUUACCUUAGGGAUAACAGCGUAAUAUUUUUAGAUAGAUCAUAUAGAUAAAAAUGAUUGC